GGGGGGGGGGGGUGUCACCAUUAGCUCUUAUGUGUCUUCAUUGGUGAAUUUUCUAGGCUAGAAAAAAAAAAACAAUCCUAAUUGGAUGUUAAUUCCCGUCCUCUAAAUGACUUCUACUGUAUUGGAAAGAUCUUAGAAGACGAGGUAUUUGAUACACUUAAUUCUUUGUUCGAUUAAUUCAAUACAUUACACGUGGUGGCAGAAGAUAAAACUAAAUGUCAACAUUGACAUUGAUCCAGUGAUUGGUAUUAAACUACAGUCUCUUGGGACUUGUCGAAUC
This is a non-coding RNA of Biomphalaria pfeifferi, 280 nucleotides long. NCBI's taxonomy places the organism in Eukaryota, Metazoa, Mollusca, Gastropoda, Planorbidae. The record is from the annotation of a GenBank genome assembly.